This 271-nucleotide ribosomal RNA is filed under the name uncultured prokaryote. RNAcentral's name for it is "partial 16S ribosomal RNA". It matches the Rfam family "Bacterial small subunit ribosomal RNA", at positions 524 to 794 of the family's 1533-position model. The record is from RNAcentral.
UACGAAGGGGGCAAGCGUUGUUCGGAAUGACUGGGCGUAAAGGGCGCGUAGGCGGCGCGUUGCGUCAGAUGUGAAAUCCCCGGGCUCAACCUGGGAAUGGCAUUUGAUACGGGCGUGCUGGAAUCCGUGAGAGGUUGGUGGAAUUCCCAGUGUAGAGGUGAAAUUCGUAGAUAUUGGGAAGAACACCAGUGGCGAAGGCGGCCAACUGGCACGGUAUUGACGCUGAGGCGCGAAAGCGUGGGGAGCAAACAGGAUUAGAUACCCUGGUAGU